RNAcentral lists this unclassified non-coding RNA (842 nucleotides) under Cyphellophora sp. 1 II-2020. Its description in RNAcentral is "sequence contains 28S rRNA gene". It matches the Rfam family "Eukaryotic large subunit ribosomal RNA", at positions 50 to 910 of the family's 3401-position model. Lineage: Eukaryota; Fungi; Ascomycota; Eurotiomycetes; Chaetothyriales; Cyphellophoraceae. The record is from RNAcentral.
GCGGAGGAAAAGAAACCAACAGGGAUUGCCUUAGUAACGGCGAGUGAAGCGGCAACAGCUCAAAUUUGAAAUCUGGCCUUUUGGGUCCGAGUUGUAAUUUGGAGAGGAUGUUUCGGGCACGGUCCGGGCUUAAAUUUCUUGGAACAGAAUGUCACAGAGGGUGAGAAUCCCGUCUGGAGUCCGCGACACGACCUAUGUGAAACUCCUUCGACGAGUCGAGUUGUUUGGGAAUGCAGCUCUAAAUGGGUGGUAAAUUUCAUCUAAAGCUAAAUAUUGGCCAGAGACCGAUAGCGCACAAGUAGAGUGAUCGAAAGAUGAAAAGCACUUUGAAAAGAGAGUUAAACAGUACGUGAAAUUGUUGAAAGGGAAGCGCAGGCAACCAGACUUGCGCGUCGGGGUUCCCCCUUGCUUCUGCCUGGGUUACUCCCCGGCGUUCAGGCCAACAUCGGUUUCGGGGGUCGGUUAAAGGCCUUGGGAAUGUACCUACCCUUCGGGGUAGACUUAUAGCCCAGGGUGUCAUGCGACCUCCCGGGACCGAGGAACGCGCGAAAGCUCGGAUGUUGGCGUAAUGGUUGUCUGCGACCCGUCUUGAAACACGGACCAAGGAGUCUAACAUCUAUGCGAGUGUUAGGGUGUCAAACCCUUACGCGGAAUGAAAGUGAACGGAGGUAGGAAGCCAUUAGGCUGCACUAUCGACCGAUCCUGAAGUUUACGGAUGGAUUUGAGUAAGAGCAUAGCUGUUGGGACCCGAAAGAUGGUGAACUAUGCCUGAAUAGGGUGAAGCCAGAGGAAACUCUGGUGGAGGCUCGCAGCGGUUCUGACGUGCAAAUCGAUCGUCAAAU